Molecule: non-coding RNA, 2076 nt
Organism: Danio rerio (zebrafish)
Lineage: Eukaryota; Metazoa; Chordata; Actinopteri; Cypriniformes; Danionidae
Source: RefSeq, a predicted model, not a curated record
UGCGUCUCUUGUCACUGUAUUCCUGCACUUUACAGCGCGGCGUGUCUGUUCAGUUUGUUUAUGUGUUGUUUACAGAUAUUAUAAUACAAUCACGGAGCUGUCAGGAUUUGUUUUACGUGUUGUAUCUUCAAGCCUCAUGCUGUCAGUGAGUGUCAAACACCUGAAGCUGAAGCGCCCCCUAGUAGAGCGGAUGGAGAACUGCGUUACAGUUUAUAACAUAAAGUCCGCGUUGUAGGCUUAAACAGGCUUAACAUUAUUAUUUUUAUAAUUUAAUAGCGUAUUACAAGCACAAUAAUUAAUUCUGACUGCAUUGUCUAAUUAUUAUACUCAAGAAAACGUGUCUAAUCAACUCGUGUAUGGGUGAUCUUCAGCUCCGGCAUGUGGUCAAUAGGUGUAUCCGCAUUAAUGAAGUAAACACAAGGUGGACGCGCAGUCAGUCGUGUGAACAGCGAAGAGAGAUUUAAGAGAUUUUAAUGUUCUCGAGGAUAUUUUACAACACGCUUGAGUUCGUGAGUGUCUCGACCGGCAGAAGAUCGAGAUCAGCUUUAAACUGAUGGAUUAAAAGAGCUGAACUGAGAAGCUCAUGGAAACACACUCAGGAAUGAAUGGGCAAUCCUCCGAGACUCUGGGUAAAGUAGAUUGAUGAAGAAGAUGUAAAGCUCUGGGUCUAUGGAUGGUUCAAGAUGGAUGAGUCAAUGACAAACACUCCUUUUCCAACACAGUUCAAACCACAGCCAAACUUCAGAGGGUCUGAUCCUUCAUCAUGCACUUAUAGUUGCAGGUUUCAGCAAGUUGUUUUGACUCAUUCAUUCUCUGGGUCUGAAUUCUAGACAUCAACAAUCAGCAUUCUUCACAUCAAGACUUCAUAUCCUGUUAAGCAAAUGCAAUAUCAGGAAUUGAACUGAAUUUCGAACCCACACUGUUGGUUGUGGGCAAGUUUACUAAACUGAACUGAGUAAAGCCACAGUCACACUAGAGUUUGAGCAUGUGAGAUACGGCACUGUGAAAAGGGGCAGGAUAAAAGAUGAUGAUUAGACAAUGAUAAAGCGAGCGACUGCUUCAUAUUUUACAUUUCUGCACAGAGAGGUCUUGUUUUGAUCUUCUAUUUCUCUCACACAAUCGUAUAAUGUGAUUUCGCCAGUCACCAAUCUUGAACUUUUAAAUGCAGCGACAUCUGUCUUCGGAUGAGACGUUAAACUAAAAUCGUGACUCUUUGUGGUCAUCGGAAAACCCAUGGCACUUCUUCUAAAGAGUAGGGGUGUAACCCCAGUGUCCUGGCUAAAUUCCCUUCAUCUGCUCUUAUCCAUCAUGUCCUCCCAAUCAUCCCCAUCCACAGAAUUGGCUCUAUCACUGUCUCUGUACUCCCCCUAUAGCUGGUGUGUGGUGAAGCACUGGCGUAGUUAUCCUGUGGCUUUCAUCACAUCAUGGAUGCUGCACUCUGGUGGUGGUGCGGAGAGACCUCCCCAUCCCUCUUGAUUGUGAAGCGUUUUAGGUGUAUGGCCAUACACGAUGAAUGCGCUAUAUAAAUACACAUUACAUUACAUGAGAAACUGAUCACACCAGCUUGCGGUUCCAGUCUGCUGCAUGCAUGUGCAUAUGGAUGGAAGUCUAUGGGACAAAAAGAGCAGUGUGACUGUGGCUCAGGAAAUAUAGUUCUUGAUAUCUGUAACUAUUCUUACCAGUUAAAUGUCACCAUAGGACGCCGUUCACAUUUAAUUGUUGAUAAUAAGAAUUCAUAUCCUGAGAAUGAAUAAAAAUCUAAAUGGCUAGCUAUGGUCACUGCAGGAUCUCUCACGCUGCCAAGUGGAGAUGAUGGAGAACUUCGACAAGUCAUAAGUGAGAAGAUUGAAGAUUAAUAUUCAUAAAUUGGUGAACUAAACUAUGAUUUUAGUAUAUUCUCAAUUUUAUUUUCACAUGUUUUGGGUAAUGUUCACUUAUUUUCGAUGUCAAAUCACUGUUGACAGAUUCUUAACAAGGCAUUUAAAGUAACGUGUGACUGAUUACUGAGUGCAUACGCAUGUUUAAACAAAUAAAGUAUGUAUUAUAUAAUGACUAAUAAACUUGUUUUCAUUUCAA